AAGAAAGUAAGUAAGGGCGCAUGGCGGAUGCCUUGGCUCUCAGAGGCGAUGAAGGACGUGAUAAGCUGCGAUAAGCUUCGGGUAGGUGCAAAUAACCUUUUAUCCGGAGAUUUCCGAAUGGGGCAACCCAGUGUUAUGAAGUAACAUUAUUCCUGCUUGCAGGAAAGCUAACCCAGUGAACUGAAACAUCUAAGUAACUGGAGGAAUAGAAAACAAUAGUGAUUCCCUUAGUAGCGGCGAGCGAAAGGGGAAUAGCCCAAAUCUCAGCGGUUUCGGCCGUUGAGAGGUUGUAGGACUGCAUUG
RNAcentral lists this ribosomal RNA (303 nucleotides) under uncultured Cryomorphaceae bacterium. RNAcentral describes it as "bacterial LSU rRNA". It matches the Rfam family "Bacterial large subunit ribosomal RNA", at positions 1 to 313 of the family's 2925-position model. The record is from RNAcentral. Lineage: Bacteria; Pseudomonadati; Bacteroidota; Flavobacteriia; Flavobacteriales; Cryomorphaceae.